UGAGGAAUAUUGCACAAUGGGCGAAAGCCUGAUGCAGCGACACCGCGUGAAGGAUGAAGGUCUUAGGAUUGUAAACUUCUGUUAAGUGGGAAAAAAGACUCGUUACGAAUAAUAACGAGGGAUGAUGGUACCACUAGAGAAAGCACCGGCUAACUUCGUGCCAGCAGCCGCGGUAAUACGAGGGGUGCAAACGUUAUUCGGAAUUACUGGGUGUAAAGGGUACGUAGACGGCAUUUUAAGUCAAUUGUUAAAUUCCCCGGCCUAACUGGGGGUAGGCGAUUGAAACUAAAAAGCUAGAGAGUGGAAGAGAGAAGUGGAAUUCUCGGAGUAGCGGUAAAAUGCGUAGAUCUCGAGAGGAACACCGAUGGCGAAGGCAGCUUCUUGGUCCAUAUCUGACGUUGAGGUACGAAAGCGUGGGGAGCAAACAGG
This 429-nucleotide ribosomal RNA is filed under the name uncultured bacterium. Its description in RNAcentral is "bacterial SSU rRNA". It matches the Rfam family "Bacterial small subunit ribosomal RNA", at positions 355 to 776 of the family's 1533-position model. The record is from RNAcentral.